GGGCCAUUAGCUCAGUUGGUAGAGCACUCGACUUUUAAUCGAGGUGUCCCGGGUUCGAGCCCCGGAUGGCCCACCA
Molecule: transfer RNA, 76 nt
Filed under: Bacillota bacterium
Lineage: Bacteria; Bacillati; Bacillota
Description: tRNA-Lys
Rfam family: tRNA
About the family: Transfer RNA (tRNA) molecules are approximately 80 nucleotides in length. Their secondary structure includes four short double-helical elements and three loops (D, anti-codon, and T loops).
Source: RNAcentral